AUAUUGGUGGUUCACUGGUAGAAUUCUUGCCUUCUACGCAGGAGACUUGGCUUCGAUUUCCAAUCAAUGCA
This 71-nucleotide transfer RNA is filed under the name Loxodonta africana (African savanna elephant). It matches the Rfam family "tRNA". From Rfam's summary of the family: Transfer RNA (tRNA) molecules are approximately 80 nucleotides in length. Lineage: Eukaryota; Metazoa; Chordata; Mammalia; Proboscidea; Elephantidae. The record is from Rfam by way of RNAcentral.